UUGUGAGGUUAAGCGACUAAGCGUACACGGUGGAUGCCCUGGCAGUCAGAGGCGAUGAAGGACGUGCUAAUCUGCGAUAAGCGUCGGUGAGGUGAUAUGAACCGUUAUAACCGGCGAUUUCCGAAUGGGGAAACCCAGUGUGUUUCGACACACUAUCAUUAACUGAAUCCAUAGGUUAAUGAGGCGAACCGGGGGAACUGAAACAUCUAAGUACCCCGAGGAAAAGAAAUCAACCGAGAUUCCCCCAGUAGCGGCGAGCGAACGGGGAGGAGCCCAGAGCCUGAAUCAGUGUGUGUGUUAGUGGAAGCGUCUGGAAAGGCGCGCGAUACAGGGUGACAGCCCCGUACACAAAAAUGCACAUAUUGUGAGCUCGAUGAGUAGGGCGGGACACGUGGUAUCCUGUCUGAAUAUGGGGGGACCAUCCUCCAAGGCUAAAUACUCCUGACUGACCGAUAGUGAACCAGUACCGUGAGGGAAAGGCGAAAAGAACCCCGGCGAGGGGAGUGAAAAAGAACCUGAAACCGUGUACGUACAAGCAGUGGGAGCCUCUUAAUGGGGUGACUGCGUACCUUUUGUAUAAUGGGUCAGCGACUUAUAUUCUGUAGCAAGGUUAACCGAAUAGGGGAGCCGAAGGGAAACCGAGUCUUAACUGGGCGUUAAGUUGCAGGGUAUAGACCCGAAACCCGGUGAUCUAGCCAUGGGCAGGUUGAAGGUUGGGUAACACUAACUGGAGGACCGAACCGACUAAUGUUGAAAAAUUAGCGGAUGACUUGUGGCUGGGGGUGAAAGGCCAAUCAAACCGGGAGAUAGCUGGUUCUCCCCGAAAGCUAUUUAGGUAGCGCCUCGUGAAUUCAUCUCCGGGGGUAGAGCACUGUUUCGGCAAGGGGGUCAUCCCGACUUACCAACCCGAUGCAAACUGCGAAUACCGGAGAAUGUUAUCACGGGAGACACACGGCGGGUGCUAACGUCCGUCGUGAAGAGGGAAACAACCCAGACCGCCAGCUAAGGUCCCAAAGUCAUGGUUAAGUGGGAAACGAUGUGGGAAGGCCCAGACAGCCAGGAUGUUGGCUUAGAAGCAGCCAUCAUUUAAAGAAAGCGUAAUAGCUCACUGGUCGAGUCGGCCUGCGCGGAAGAUGUAACGGGGCUAAACCAUGCACCGAAGCUGCGGCAGCGACGCUUAUGCGUUGUUGGGUAGGGGAGCGUUCUGUAAGCCUGUGAAGGUGUGCUGUGAGGCAUGCUGGAGGUAUCAGAAGUGCGAAUGCUGACAUAAGUAACGAUAAAGCGGGUGAAAAGCCCGCUCGCCGGAAGACCAAGGGUUCCUGUCCAACGUUAA
This 1333-nucleotide ribosomal RNA is filed under the name Escherichia coli. RNAcentral describes it as "partial 23S ribosomal RNA". It matches the Rfam family "Bacterial large subunit ribosomal RNA", at positions 1 to 1368 of the family's 2925-position model. Lineage: Bacteria; Pseudomonadati; Pseudomonadota; Gammaproteobacteria; Enterobacterales; Enterobacteriaceae. The record is from RNAcentral.